RNAcentral lists this ribosomal RNA (481 nucleotides) under uncultured bacterium. RNAcentral's name for it is "partial 16S ribosomal RNA". It matches the Rfam family "Bacterial small subunit ribosomal RNA", at positions 28 to 507 of the family's 1533-position model. The record is from RNAcentral.
GAUGAACGCUGGCGGCGUGCCUAACACAUGCAAGUCGAACGGAGAUUACGGACGGAAGUUUUCGGAUGGAAGCCUGUAAUUCUUAGUGGCGGACGGGUGAGUAACGCGUGGGCAACCUGCCCUAUACAGGGGGAUAGCAGCUGGAAACGGCUGGUAAGACCGCAUAAGUCGGUUAAAUCGCAUGAUCUGAUCGGGAAAUGAGCAAUCAGGUAUAGGAUGGGCCCGCGUCCGAUUAGCCAGUUGGCAGGGUAAAAGCCUACCAAAGCGACGAUCGGCAGCCGGACUGAGAGGUCGGACGGCCACAUUGGGACUGAGACACGGCCCAAACUCCUACGGGAGGCAGCAGUGGGGGAUAUUGCACAAUGGAGGAAACGCUGAUGCAGCGACGCCGCGUGAGUGAAGAAGUAUUUCGGUAUGUAAAGCUCUAUCAGCAGGGAAGAUGAUGACGGUACCUGACUAAGAAGCCCCGGCUAACUACGUG